This is a long non-coding RNA of Cercocebus atys (sooty mangabey), 2808 nucleotides long. RefSeq lists it as uncharacterized. NCBI's taxonomy places the organism in Eukaryota, Metazoa, Chordata, Mammalia, Primates, Cercopithecidae. The transcript is spliced from 3 exons. The record is from RefSeq and is a predicted model, not a curated record.
CUGUACUCCAGCCUGGGCGACAGAGCAAGACUCCGUCUCAAAAGAAAAAACAAAACUGCAGAAACUAAGCGAGCUCCAGACCAAAAGAUCAGAAGAGAAUGGUAAACUGACACCUUCCUCCUGCAUUCCAAAAUGCAGAAAGGUAAAAACACUGACUCUGAUGACCACAGAGGAUCUGGACUAAGGGAGAGUCAUCAGAGGAAAAAGCUAGAGACAGCAAAAUAUAACCCUGUUCCCAUCUCCACAACUAAGCUGGAGUCCAGGCCACAAAUGGACCCUGCAGCUGCCUCCUCACUGUUCGCCCUGCUCCCACCCUCAUCCCCCACCCACUCUCCAAACAGCAGCCAGAUGAUGUUUUAAAAACCCUGUCAAUAAGGACACGUUCCAGCAAAAUACCCUUCAAAAGUUUUUCAUCCACUUGGAAUAAAAUCCAAACUCUUCACCAACAAGUUCAAAGUCCAACCCCCGCCCCCUUUAUUUCAUACCACUCUCCCUCCAAGCACUACAUUCCGGACACAGGGGUCUCCCUCUUCUGUUUCUUACAACCUGCCAACCUCUGAGCCUUUUCCCAUGCUGCUUUCCAUGCCUGAAAGGCUCCUCCCCCAGAUUUUUACAGAGCUGGUUCCUUCUCCAGACUCAGUUCAAACUUUACCUUUUCAAAGAAGCCUUCCCUGACCAUUCUACCUCAAGUGGCAUCCCUCCCACUCCACCACUCCCUAUCAGACCAUCUUUUUGUGUGUUUAGUACUUAUCACCCCCGGACAGUAUUUUCUUCAUUUAUUUUCCUGUUUCGGUCUUCUCUCCCAUUAGGGUUGAGGCUGUGUUUUGUUCACCCCUAUGAAUACAGCGCAUGCACCAGGCACUAAAAAGAAUUUCCAGAAUAUUUGUUGACUAUCAGCAGAGAAGCAUCCUCAAGAUAGGCUAUUUUGUUCUCCUAUUAGAAUGCAGAAAACAUCGAUUUAGCCCCUACUAUGUGCUGAGCACUGUAAAUCCAUGAUUUUCCUUUCAGAAGGGUAAAUUAGCUCAAGGUCACACUGUUAGUCACUAGCAGACCUCUGAGUGAAUUACUUCACUUCUAAACCCCUCUCAAGGGGAAGGGAUAUCGUUCUGUGUUUCACUCUCACACGGCCAUAACAAGAAAAAGCAAACAUUUCUCAACAGCUUUACAGUUUUAAAGCAUUUUCACAUUCAUCUCACUUAAGAAAAACACAAAGCACUUAGAAUGCCCAGAAAGCUAUACAACAACAGGAAGUAAAGUAAGCAGUGUUUCAAGAUUCGAUGCCGCGGCCCUGAAUCCCAGUAGUGGGGACUGGGGAGGAGUCGGGAGUCUCUAUUUCUGGUUCAGAGGGAUGGGGAAGCGGUGAGUCACGGGGUGAAGGCUUGCGCCACGGGAAACUUUGGUAAGGCCAAGCUAUGAGGCAACAAAAAGUGAAUCACAACGCUAGAAGACACCUUAGGCCUCAACUGAGGCCAAACCCUGGCUGACGGAUGGGGAAACUGAGGCCUCAAAGGGACAGCAACUUGCUCAAGUUCACUUAGCAAGUGAACAAGCAGGAAUCAGGGGAUCUCCUCUCCCCCAGUCCCCUUUUCUCUCCACCAAGGAGGCUUUUCAACGAGAAUUCUGAGUUAAGAGGAUGGCGGAGACGCCAAGGGCAGCUCACAGAUUCCACCGAGGAGCCGGGAGAGGGCACAGAAGCAAGAGGAACCUAAUACUCUUCCCCAUUGGCCUUCCUGUCUCCAUCUUUAUUCCUUCCAGUUCAUUCUCUACAUGGUAAGCAGAGUCCCUCUCUGAUUCAUCAACCCACACUUCAGUCGCAGAAAGUGGCUAAGAACCCAUGGAGGCAGGCUGCCCCAGCUUGAGUCCCAGCUCUGCAGCUUUCCUGGCUGUGUGAGCUUGGGUAAGGAAGUUUGCCCCUCUGGGCCUGGGUUUUCUCAGCUGUAAAAUACGGAAAGUAACAGCACUCACAUGACAGGCUGAGGCGACGUGACUGUAAAUAGCCUGGCACAGUGUUCCUCGUGUGGAGAAGCUGGAAGCAUCAGCCAUGAUCAUUACCCACCUACUCCUCCGAGACCUCUGGUCAUCCUGGAACAUCCGCCGGCCCCAGAACAUAGCAGGCCCGGCGUUGUCCCACCCCAAGGUGUUUGUGCACGCCCUGCUCUCACACGGCACACCUUCCCCUAUCCAUCCACCCAUCAAAGCACCCCAGGCCAAGGCCCAGCUCCAGGGGCAUCCCCUCUGACUUCCUGUCCCCACCAGUCCCCCUUGGGCCUUUGUGCAGGCCGGUACACUUUCACACCUCACCCCCAUCAACUCUGUCCCUCCUGCCGCCUCACAUCCUUCCUGAGGACGUGGGAAGCUGGGCCUGGCUCUGGGCUCCAGCCCUGAGUUCCAACACAGAUGACUGAGGGACCUGCCAGCCUUCAAAACAAUUCAGUCAUCAAAUGGAGUUGACAGCCCAGAAUGGUGGCUGUGAAGAUAAACAGAAAACACUAGUCAAAGGCUCUUUUCUCUUCCCGCCUCCUCAUGAGCCCAAUCCACCUCCCACCUGGACCAGCUGAGGGGGAGGAGGAAGCACUGGACGUGGGGACACUGACGGCCUCCAGAUGCCCACGCGAGAGGAAUUUCUGAUCUUGAUUACAACGGAUUUGGAGGUGGCUAACAAUCCCGAAUUCCCACAAGUAAGUACAAACCCUGACCCCCGUGGGGUGUUGUCCUGGACCGUUUUCUGUGGAUGGGUGUUCCCAAUUUCCAUUUUUUUAAAAUCUUUGAGACAGGGUCUUGCUCAGUUGCUCAGGCUGGAAUGCAGUG